RNAcentral lists this small nuclear RNA (164 nucleotides) under Carlito syrichta (Philippine tarsier). Its description in RNAcentral is "U1 spliceosomal RNA (ENSTSYG00000026492.1)". It matches the Rfam family "U1 spliceosomal RNA". Rfam says of the family: U1 is a small nuclear RNA (snRNA) component of the spliceosome (involved in pre-mRNA splicing). Its 5' end forms complementary base pairs with the 5' splice junction, thus defining the 5' donor site of an intron. There are significant differences in sequence and secondary structure between metazoan and yeast U1 snRNAs, the latter being much longer (568 nucleotides as compared to 164 nucleotides in human). Lineage: Eukaryota; Metazoa; Chordata; Mammalia; Primates; Tarsiidae. The record is from Rfam by way of RNAcentral.
AUACUUACCUGGCAGGAGAGAUACCAUGAUCACGAAGGUGGUUUUCCCAGGGCGAGGCUUACCCAUUGCACUCCGGGUGUGCUGACCCCUGCGAUUUCCCCAAAUGUGGGAAACUCGACUGCAUAAUUUGUGGUAGUGGGGGACUGCGUUCGCGCUCUCCCCUG